GAUGAACGCCGGCGGCGUGCCUAAUACAUGCAAGUCGAGCGAACAGACGAGGAGCUUGCUCCUCUGACGUUAGCGGCGGACGGGUGAGUAACACGUGGAUAACCUACCUAUAAGACUGGGAUAACUUCGGGAAACCGGAGCUAAUACCGGAUAACAUGUUGAACCGCAUGGUUCAACAGUGAAAGACGGUCUUGCUGUCACUUAUAGAUGGAUCCGCGCCGCAUUAGCUAGUUGGUAAGGUAACGGCUUACCAAGGCAACGAUGCGUAGCCGACCUGUGAGGGUGAUAGCCCACACGGGAGGUGGGACAGCGUCCAGGCGCCUACGGGAGGCAGCAGUAGGCAAUCUUCCGCAAUGGGCGAAAGCAUGACGGAGCGGCGGCGCGCCAGAGAAGAAGGUCUUCGGUGCGUAAAACUCUGUUAUUAGGGAAGAACAAAUGUGUAAGUAACUAUGCACGGCUUGACGGUAACUAAUCAGAAAGCAACGGCUAACUACGUG
Molecule: ribosomal RNA, 497 nt
Filed under: uncultured bacterium
Lineage: Bacteria
Description: partial 16S ribosomal RNA
Rfam family: Bacterial small subunit ribosomal RNA
Source: RNAcentral